UCCCAAUCACAUUGAUUCCCAAUGAGCAGGGAGUGGUAAGUACUUUGGAUUCACUGGAAAACCACAUGUGUUCCAGAAGGUGGUACAUAAACUCUAGUUCUAAUUCCAAGGACUGUAUCAGUUAGGGUCCAGGAAGGAAAAACCACACCAGGCAUUUCAAACAAAAGGAGAUUUUUGGUCCCGUGGCUAGAAGGCUGAAAGAAUGAAGCAGAUGUUGAGGUAACCCAAAAAUGAGCAACUGCAGGAAGGAGCUAGCCCCCCUAGGGCUGGGAGAACAAAAAGGAAGAAUUAGCAUUACUAGCGCCUGGGAACUUGGGCAGAUGGGUCACCAUGGGGCUGGUGCUGAGGACUCUAAGAGGCGCCCUUGGGCCAGUGUUGAAGAGCCUGAGAAGUGGGGAGCUGGAACCUCCUGCACUUGUUGGAGGGGUGCCAUCAUUGCUGAAAUCAGGAAGAGAUGUCCUUUUUUUCUCCUUCCACCGUCUGGUCUUUCCCCAGCACCUCCCACUGGCGGAAUCUAAAAGGAACUCAGGUGGCGAGAGUGUCUGGGAAAUGCAGUUGCAGACGUCUGGGCCCAGCGUUGAGAAGAGUGGGCUUGGCCUGAGCAAGAAUAGGUAAAUAAGGGCACAGCCAUCACCCCAAAGUGUGACCGAAGUGAGAAGAUUGCAUCUGGCUCUUCUCCUGGGAAUGUGCCAGGAGCAGCUGCUUCUGGCUUGGUUGAAACCUUAGAAGUUCUGGGCCUACUCCCAAUGAUGCUGAAAACUCACCAUCCCUGGACUAUCUGGCAGCUUAGGACCUGCUGUGCUCCUGGCCUCCUGGUUCCUAGCGUACAAGAGGGGGAGGAAAGAGCCCAUCUCGGCCAUGCUUUCCCUUCCGAGCCCUCUCUGAGGUCAGUGAGAUACACUCCAAGAAUUAAUGCCUUACACAUAUUGCAAGGACUCUCUUAAUAUAGUGAGUUUACGUUCAGAGAAGGAAACAAAUGAGAACAAAAGACUAUUUUAUUCUCCCUCACUUUUUUGGUAGGAGGCCUUGAUGUGCAGACGUUGAUGGGGCAACGAUAAGACCAAAUAAACAAUUGACAUCUAACCCCAGAAGGAGAGCAAGGACCUGGGACCCAGAAGGAAGAGGCUGUGAGAAACACAAAGUGCAGGCAUGGACAUGAUGUGUACAGAGGACAGGACGGUCAUGCACACAGAGGACAGCCAUGCGCGUAGAGGUCAGCCAUGCGCGUAGAGGACAGCCAUGUGUAUAGAGGACGGCCACACUAAGCUUUGAGGCUUCUGGGGGCAACACAGAGUAACCAUUGGAAUGGAAAUCACUGAACAGACACAGAGAAAGAGAAACCAUCCAAUGACUGGGGGUGACACCAGGUUUGCCUGGUGGCCUGGGGACUCCUGGCUCACUGGUCCCAUGUCUCCCCCAGCCUAUCAGAAUUCAUGAAGGCUGGCCAGGCACAGUGGCCCACGUCUGUAAUCCCAGCACUUUGGGAGGCCGAGGCGGGCGGAUCAUCUGACUUCGAGACCAGCCUGGCCAACAUGGUGAAACCCCGGCUCUACUAAAAAUACAAAAUUAGCUGAGUGUGGUGGCACAUGCCUGUAAUCUCCCAGCUACUCGGGAGGCUGAGGCAGGAGAAUCAUUUGAACCUGGGAGGCUGAGGUGCAGUGAGUGGGGAUCACGCCAUUGCACUCCAGCCUGGGUGACAGAGUGAGACUCUGUCUCCAAAAAAAAAAA
Macaca fascicularis (crab-eating macaque) is the source of this 1728-nucleotide long non-coding RNA. The record is from Ensembl. Lineage: Eukaryota; Metazoa; Chordata; Mammalia; Primates; Cercopithecidae.